CAGAAAAUAGUUAAAACAAGAAUGCUGGCUUUGGGAGCCAGUGGUGAAGGUUGAAGUCCUUCUUUUCUGA
RNAcentral lists this transfer RNA (70 nucleotides) under Synodus poeyi (offshore lizardfish). Its description in RNAcentral is "tRNA-Pro". It matches the Rfam family "tRNA". From Rfam's summary of the family: Transfer RNA (tRNA) molecules are approximately 80 nucleotides in length. Lineage: Eukaryota; Metazoa; Chordata; Actinopteri; Aulopiformes; Synodontidae. The record is from RNAcentral.